GGCUGACUGACGGCAGCGCUGUGAUGGCAUCGGUGUCAUGGUGAGCAAGGGCUGCCUCGGCACUGCUACCGGAGAAGUACACCGGCGGGCUUUGAUGUCAAGUGGGGCGGUCGGCGAGCAGCGCAUGGCUUCGGCGCAACACAAAAUGGCUGAGGAUUGGAAGAUGCAGUGCAAUGGUCGAUAUUAGAGCUCCCGUCCCCACCAAAGGCCUCAGGCACCCAAUGUCAUUGGCUCCUAUCGGUGACUCCAGCAGCAGCGCCUUUGUACUGGGCAUCAGCUCCCUGGAAAGUCCUUCCGGCACUGCUUCCCUGCGGACUAGUGAUUGUCAGAAGAUAAGAUACGGCAUGAGCUACCGUGCAAGACAUAGACAUUAUUGUAUUGGUCAGGUGUGGUCUUUCCCAGGGUAGAUAAGCUAUGGGAGUAAUCAGCACC
Molecule: long non-coding RNA, 432 nt
Organism: Lolium rigidum
Lineage: Eukaryota; Viridiplantae; Streptophyta; Magnoliopsida; Poales; Poaceae
Exons: 3
Source: RefSeq, a predicted model, not a curated record